RNAcentral lists this non-coding RNA (32 nucleotides) under Homo sapiens (human). Lineage: Eukaryota; Metazoa; Chordata; Mammalia; Primates; Hominidae. The record is from RNAcentral.
UUAUACCUAAACUAAGGUAGAUAGGACCACUU